This 254-nucleotide ribosomal RNA is filed under the name uncultured bacterium. RNAcentral describes it as "partial 16S ribosomal RNA". It matches the Rfam family "Bacterial small subunit ribosomal RNA", at positions 524 to 776 of the family's 1533-position model. The record is from RNAcentral.
UACGUAGGGGCCAAGCGUUGUCCGGAUUUAUUGGGCGUAAAGAGCUCGUAGGCGGUUCGGCAAGUCGAAUGUGAAAUCUCCACGCUCAACGUGGAGGGGUCAUUCGAUACUGCCGUGACUCGAGUCCGGUAGGGGAGUGUGGAAUUCCCGGUGUAGCGGUGAAAUGCGCAGAUAUCAGGAGGAACACCGGUGGCGAAGGCGGUUCUCUGGGAAUGUCCUGACGCUGAGGAGCGAAAGUGUGGGGAGCGAACAGG